UGAGAAAUCAAUCCUUUAAUAAGAGAUUAAGAGUUAAUUGAAAAGUAAAAUUAAAUUGAACAAGGCAGAGCCUAGAGGUUAAAGAUACAAGAGAAGAAUGUGAGAAAUCACACUGUGAGCAAACAAAUAAAUACAAACAGAUUACAGAGGUAUCACCAGUCCUUUAACAACCCCAUCACAAUUGCAAAAAAGCUGUUGGCCCAAGUCAUACUACUUUAUCGUUUACGUCCCUAUAAAACAGCCAUUCCAGGUUAUAACAGGGAAAUCAUAUUUAACAAAAAGUAAAGAAAAAGUUCACAAAUCUUCAGAUGUGCUUCACAACACCAUGGCCAUAUUGAGUUUGCACUCUUAAUUACACACUCAACCUUCACGCAACAAAUAAAAUGCAGGCUCAGAACUGAAAUUGUGUUACUCAGGAAAUUUAAAUCACCUAACAUUCUUCAAGUUCUAUGUGUAUAUAUGCUAUGGUUCAAUGUUCGGAAAAGACUGAUUACAAGAAGCAUGAAACUCAUUGCUGGUUGAAAUCAAUUUUGAGUUGGAACACGGGGACAAUGAAAGGAAUGUAACUAGAAAAAUAAUUUGUCUUUUAUUCAAUUGGAGUAUCUCUAACGCAUUGUGUACAUUAGGUUUUCCUAUUUUCUGGUUCCCUAACUCGUAUUAUCCUAUAGGCAAGAAGAUAUUGCAUAUAAGACUUUUGUUAUUUUCUUUCUCCCAUAGGAAAGAACGAACUGUGUAUUAAAAGUAAGUCAUUGAUAAAUAUAAAGAGUUUAGAUCAGGUGGCUAUAUACAUUAGGCAGUGGCUUGCGUUUCUUAUUUAUUCUUUCUCAUAUGCAGAAAGAAGUUGCUUAUAAAUAGUAUAAAGAAGGUAAAAUGAUUAAAAAAUACAACGUACUUUCACAAAUUUUUCACUUUAUACAAUGUACUAAAAAUCACGCCGAAAUAUCAAUGUACUUUGAAAAAAAAUUCACAUUAUACAAUCUGUCUAAAAUUGGCUAACGGACUACUUACGUGGCUAAUAAUUAUCUACAUGUAUUUUUUUUUUAAGAAAUGUUGAGUUGUAAAAUUAAAACCAACACAUCUACUUUAAAGCGUGUCAUCAGAUCAUGUCAACAAAUGUUUACAUCUAAACCGUCUAUUAAUCCCAAGAUGUUAGAGAUAUAGAUGUAUUAUUUUUUUUUAGUUGUUAUCUCUAUGAUAGAAAAUAUCAAACAUAGGAAACUAUGAAACCCUAAAUCAACAUUUCUUCCAUCUCUCUUUCUCAUGGCAACAUUGAACCCUAAAUCUUCUCUUUAAUUCUUCAAACCCUAAUUUUAAUUAAUCAUUUUCUCACAACUAAAACCCCUACUUUCAAUCAAACACUAAUGUAUGGUGAAUUGGUGAAUCUCAAGAAAGAAUCGGUGUGGAACAAUCUUGUUGUGUGUGUACAAGAAAAAUCUUCUUUCAAGUAAGUAGUAGUUAGUUUAACACUAAAAGAUGAAGACACAAAAGCUAGGGUUUGAAAUUGAAUUGGAGAUUUGAAUUGAGGAUUUACAGAUUUGGGGAUUUUUACAAUUGUUGAAUUAAAUUGUUAAAAUAUGGAAGAAGGAGGUCAAUCAUGUGAGAAACAUGUGCCUCAUUUGAUUUGUUGGAAAUGUUUUGUAAAUUUUUUUUUUUUAAAAUAUACGUAGAUAAUUAUUGGCCACGUAAGCAGUCUGUUAGCUAGUUUUAGACAGAUUGUAUAACGUGAAAUUUUUUUCAAAGUACAUUGAUAUUUUGACGAUAUUUUUAGUACAUUGUAUAAAGUGAAAAAUUUGUGAAAAAGUACGUUGUAUCUUUUGAUCAUUUUACCUAUAAAGAAUUUUAGCAAUUGUAACAUUAAAAGAGUUUUGACCAUGUGAUCCUAUAUAUAUUACACCACUGAAUCGCUCCAUCCCUUUUUCUCGUCUAAUAUGUAUUAAAAUAUUAAAUUUUAAUGAGCUUUCAUUCAUAUGCAGAAACAAAUUGCGUAAAUUAUAAACAUAAAAAAAAAAAAAUACACAACAACAACAACAUUCGCAUAGAUUAAAAUUAUAGAAAAACCAAAUUUUAGGCAUUAGAGAUUGUUUAGAAUAGGAUUUUCUGACAAUUUCAGAACGUUCUAUCCUCCUAUAUCCUUUCUAGCGCUAAUGUGCAUUCUAUCCCUCCUGCUCUGUACAACCUCCUAUAUCCUUUCUAGCACUAAUGUGUAUUCUAUCGCUCCUGCUCUGCACAAUGCAUUAGUCUUAGAGAUGCUCUUAUUCUCAUUUUUUUUAAGUUGUCAUUCUAAUGUUACACUCAAAUUCAGCAAAGAGGCACUAACAAGAGUUGCAUUUGUGUGAUUUUGUCAUUUAAGUGUACAAGCUAGCAAUUUGACAACUAGAGUUCUUCACAAUGGUUAAUGGUUAUCUAGAUGCAUGUCUAUGUAUACAACUGGCACAACCAACAUAACAUAAAACAAUGACACAAAAAAAAAAACAGUUGCAUACCGUUGAAAUGUGAUGUUGAAUUUAGCACUCCAUCUUCACCAUUGUACCUUAGUAGUCGAUUUGAAUGGGACAAGACUCGGAAUGUAAGACAUUAUUUUAAGAGGUGCAUUUUCGAUUCCACGAAUCUUGAGCUUUCUAGCUGUUCUUUGUUUUGAAUCAUAAAUAACUAAAUGGAUGCUAUCAGAGAUUAAAAUCUUAUCACUGUUGAAGAAGUGCAAUGGUAUCACCCGACUACCAAUUUCGUCAUUCUUGUUAAGGAUGGUGCGUGACCUCAAACGGCAUACCGAAGGAAAAAGUGUUUCAUCAAUGGCAAAUUGUUGAGUCCAUGAAUCCAUUAGACCAUAAUUGUUCAUUGCCCAAAUUUGAAUAUUACCAGUAGGGAAAUAACAUAACAUAGAAAGUUUUCCUCUCAGAAUCCGAACUCCGGUAAUACUAGCUCUUUCCCUAAACUGAUUGGGUGACAACAGCUGUUGAAAACUUGUCCCCUUCAUGUCAAAAGAGACUAUAGUUUCAAUCUCAAGUCUAUCUUCAUGAACUGCUACCCAAUGAAGAGAUCCAUUAAGGUAAAUCCCAGGAAUAUCUCCAUUUAAAAUUCUGUAAGGGACACCAAAGGUACUCAGACAUGUAGCUUGUCCAUCAUUAUUCAGGGAGUAAACAUCAACUAGAGAAUCACAGUCAUCAUAAAUAGACAAACUGCGGCGAACAUUUACAAGUUUGUAUUCACCAACAACAGAAUCAUAAGCAAGGCCAAAAGCAGAACAAUCAUGAACAUAUAAGGAUUUUCCUACAUUAAAAAACUUGCACUCUUUAGUACAAGGAUUCAGUAGGCAUAACUUAGACGGUGGCAUACACAAGCAAAUAAACCCAUUACAAGUAGCAAAAACUUCGGUUUCAGUACCAAUUUCUUUAAAUGGAUUUAUGAUAUGUUCUGCAUCAACUUCCUCAUCAUCAAAAGAAGAAAAGGAAGAAGAAUAAAACUGUGUCCUUCGUUUAAUACUAUAAAUAGUUGAUAAGAAAUUGGGACAAUUUAUUUCCAUUGAUCGAUUCAAGUGGGUUUGAAUAAAAUUAGAAAAAGGAUCUGUCAUCAAAUCGCACCAAGGUUUGUAUACCAACCUGAAUUGUUCUCUGAGUGAUUUUGCUGGAAGCCUCGUGAGAAUCUCGAAGAUUAUAUCAUCAUGAAUAAUAGCAUCUGUUGUUGACAUUAUUGUUUUUUGAAUUGCAAGAUUCUCUUCUUCGAAUCGUGAACCAGUAUGUGUUGUUGACAUUUUUUUCUAAAUGUAUUUAGGGUUUCUGAGAAUUUUUAGAUCGAGAGAGCUAUCCGCCGCCACUCUUUCUCUCUAGCAGUAUCGGGUUUUAUAGAUCAAAAGAAUUGGGCCGUAGGACCAAAUUCCAAUUCUCUUCUUUCAAGUUUCAACAACUCAUAAACGUCCGUGAGCCCGUAACCAGAUCUACAGACAGAAACUUUGGCUAUGAACUCUAUAACGUACAGGAGCGAAAUAUUCUCAGCAAUAUUAUCUAUGCAAAUUUUGAGGACCAUCGUUAAUUCAUUAUACUAAAUCUUUGAGAACCAUCGUUAAUUCAUUAUACUAAAUCUUUGAUAUUUGUGUAGAUUUUGUAGAAGCAACUUAUGUCGGUAACACAUAGGGAAUAUUUGUUUUGUUUAGUUAGAUAGUUAAUAUCACCUAAAAUUUAAGUGGGGUGUGCGUGCGUCAAGAGCAGGAACAGUCAGACCAGUAAAGUUUUUGGCACUCAAAUGUCGAAAUUUGCGUUACCCCCAUUUGAAAAAAUAUAGCACUUACCCCUCAAUUGUAUGGAAAAAAUAGACGAUGUUACAAAAAUUAAUUUUUAAAUUUUCGUAAAAUAAAAUAUUUUGAUAAUACCAAAACUACUCUUUUUUAAACAUGUAAAUAAUAAACAUAAUUAGUAAAAUCCCACCACUGAAACAUAAAUAAUUAACAAUACCCCAAAUCGAUUUGCAAAAGAAUUUGAAGGAGAAGAUAAAUUUUUAGGAAAAAAGAUGAAAUUUGUUUAAGAAAUUUGUUAAAUUUAAAGAACAUGAAAUUUAUUUGAGAAAAAUUAGGUUUAUUUAUAAACUUUGGGGGAUUUUGGAUUUUUGGAAAAAACAACAAAGUUGACCGUUAGAUUAAGUACUAAAUAGAUGGAUAAGAUUAUGACACAUGUCAUUAUUACUAGAAUAAAAAAGGUACUUUUGGUAUUAUCGAAAUAUUUUAUUUAAAAAAAUUUUAAAAAUUGAUUUUUGUAACACCGUUAAAUUUUUCCAUCCAGUUGGGGGUAACUGCUAUAUUUUUUCAUAUAGGGGUAACUCAAAUUUCGACUAUCAAAUGGGAGGUAAGUGCCUAAAGAGUUAAUUGUUUUUUCUGUCUAAGAAAUAAUUUCUUGCAUCUAUCUUAUUUUUUUUUAUUUAUUGUAGAUUAUGAAACUGGUGCCAUAUUAUGGAGAGUUUGAUUCCAUACACUGAUGUGGAUCUGUUGGUGCAGAAUCCUUAAAUUGAAGAAGAUUAACAUUUCAUCAGACUCCAAGAGAUAACACAGCUAUUAAUACACGGAGUCUAUAUUUUUAAGUGCACACAGUCUAUUACAAACAUGAACACAAACAAACUGUUUUGCAUAAGUUGAUGCCCAUGGUGAAUGAGCUGCAAAGUUAGUACAAAUAACGUUAAGGUGAUGGAUAUCUUCAGUAAAAUUUAAGAAUACAUGAGAGGAAUGUGAGAAAUCAAUCCUUUAAUAAGAGAUUAGGAGUUAAUUGAAAAGUAAAAUUAAAUUGAACAAGGCAGAGCCUAGAGGUUAAAGAUACAAAAGAAGAAGGUGAGAAAUCACACUGUGAGCAAACAAAUAAAUACAAACAGAUUACAGAGGUAUCACCAGUCCUUUAACAACCCCAUCACAAUUGCAAAAAAAGCUGUUGGCCCACGACAUACUACUUUAUCGUUUACGUCCCUAUAAAACAGCCAUUCCAGGUUAUAACAGAGAAAUCAUAUUUAACAAAAAGUAAAGAACAAAAAGUAAAGAAACGGUUCACAAAUCUUCAGAUGUGCUUCACAACACCAUGGCCAUAUUGAGUUUGCACUCUUAAUUACACACUCAACCUUCAAGCAACAAAUAAAAUGCAGGUUCAGAACUGAGAUUGUGUUACUCAGUCAAUUUAAAUCACUUAACAUUCUUCAAGUUCUAUGUGUAUAUAGGCUGUGGUUCAAUGUUCGGAAAAGACUGAUUACAAGAAGCAUGAAACUCAUUGCUGGUCGAAAUCAAUUUUGAGUUGGAACACGGGGACAAUGAAAGGAAUGUAACUAGAAAAAUAAUUUGUCUUUCAUUCAAUUGGAGGAUCUCUAACGCAUUGUGUACAUUAGGUUUUCCUAUUUUCUGGUUCCCUAACUCGCAUUCUUUAGGCAAGAAGAUAUUGCAUAUAAGACUUUUGUUAUUUUCUUUCUCCCAUAGGCAAGAAGGAACUGUGUAUUAAAAGUUUAAGUCAGUGAUAAAUAUAAAGAGUUUAGGUCAGGUGGCUAUAUACAUUAGACAGUGGCUUGCGUUUCUUAUUUAUUCUUUCUCAUAUGCAGAAAGAAGCUACUUAUAAAGAGUAUAAAGAAGGUAAAAUGAUUAAAAAAUACAAUGUACUUUCACAAAUUUUUCACUUUAUACAAUGUACUAAAAUCACGCCAAAAAAUCAAUUU
Molecule: long non-coding RNA, 6171 nt
Filed under: Aquilegia coerulea
Lineage: Eukaryota; Viridiplantae; Streptophyta; Magnoliopsida; Ranunculales; Ranunculaceae
Description: long non-coding RNA (ACOE_LNC000654)
Source: RNAcentral